RNAcentral lists this transfer RNA (65 nucleotides) under Tecia solanivora (Guatemalan potato tuber moth). Its description in RNAcentral is "tRNA-Ile". The record is from RNAcentral. Lineage: Eukaryota; Metazoa; Arthropoda; Insecta; Lepidoptera; Gelechiidae.
AAUAAAGUGCCUGAUAAAAAGGGUUAUUCUGAUAGGAUAAAUUAUGUAGAAUUCUACCUUUAUUA